Molecule: small RNA, 82 nt
Filed under: Flavobacterium pectinovorum
Lineage: Bacteria; Pseudomonadati; Bacteroidota; Flavobacteriia; Flavobacteriales; Flavobacteriaceae
Description: Flavo-1 RNA
Rfam family: Flavo-1 RNA
Source: RNAcentral
CCCUAGCCCGGAUAGAAGCGGUAUCCUUUUUCUGUCCGCCGCGGCGGACAGGAAAAGAUACAAGCGGAUAGCCGGAAACAGC